This 644-nucleotide ribosomal RNA is filed under the name Cortinarius salor. Its description in RNAcentral is "eukaryotic LSU rRNA". It matches the Rfam family "Eukaryotic large subunit ribosomal RNA", at positions 1 to 633 of the family's 3401-position model. Lineage: Eukaryota; Fungi; Basidiomycota; Agaricomycetes; Agaricales; Cortinariaceae. The record is from RNAcentral.
UGACCUCAAAUCAGGUAGGACUACCCGCUGAACUUAAGCAUAUCAAUAAGCGGAGGAAAAGAAACUAACAAGGAUUCCCCUAGUAACUGCGAGUGAAGCGGGAAAAGCUCAAAUUUAAAAUCUGUCAGUCUUUGGCUGUCCGAGUUGUAAUCUAGAGAAGUGUUAUCCGCGCUGGACCGUGUACAAGUCUCCUGGAAUGGAGCGUCAUAGAGGGUGAGAAUCCCGUCUUUGACACGGACUACCAGGGCUUUGUGAUGCGCUCUCAAAGAGUCGAGUUGUUUGGGAAUGCAGCUCAAAAUGGGUGGUAAAUUCCAUCUAAAGCUAAAUAUUGGCGAGAGACCGAUAGCGAACAAGUACCGUGAGGGAAAGAUGAAAAGAACUUUGGAAAGAGAGUUAAACAGUACGUGAAAUUGCUGAAAGGGAAACGCUUGAAGUCAGUCGCGUCGUCCAGGGAUCAACCUUGCUUUUGCCUGGUGUACUUUCUGGUUUGACGGGUCAGCAUCAAUUUUGAUUAUUGGAAAAAGAUUAAGGGAAUGUGGCAUCUUUGGAUGUGUUAUAGCCCUUGAUUGCAUACAAUAGUUGGGAUUGAGGAACUCAGCACGCCGCAAGGCCGGGUUUUUUAUAAACCACGUACGUGCUUAGGA